CGGAGAGGGAGCAUGAGAAACGGUCACUUCAUCUAAGGAAGGCAGCAGGCGCGCAAAUUACCCAAUCCUUACACAGGGAGGUAGUGACAAGAAAUAACAAUACUGGUCGUUUUCACGUCCGGUAAUUGGAAUGAGUACAAUUUAAAUCCCUUAACGAGGAACAAUUGGAGGGCAAGUCUGGUGCCAGCAGCCGCGGUAAUACCAGCUCCAAUAGCGUAUAUUAAAGUUGUUGCAGUUAAAAAGCUCGUAGUUGGAUUUCUGGUGCUCAUGCCUGGCCCGAUCCGGUUUCGGAUCGAGUGCCGGUGCGUGGGUACCAUCCUUCCGGAGAACCAGUCUGCGCUUCAUCGCGUUGGACUUGGAGCUCUGGAUCGUUUACUUUGAAAAAAUUAGAGUGUUCAAAGCAAGCUUACGCUUCUGAAUACAUUAGCAUGGAAUAAUAGAAUAGGACUUCGGUCUUAUUUUGUUGGUUCUGAGGACUGAAGUAAUGAUUGAUAGGGAUAGUUGGGGGUGCUAGUAUUCAGCGGCCAGAGGUGAAAUUCGGGGAUUCGCUGAAGACUAACUUAUGCGAAAGCUUAUGCCAAGGAUGUGUCCAUCGAUCAAGAACGAAAGUUGGGGGAUCGAAGACGAUCAGAUACCGUCGUAGUCUCAACCAUAAACGAUGACGACCCGGGAUUCGAAAACGUUGUUUUGACCUUUCGAGCACCGUGUGAGAAAUCACAAGUCUUUGGUCUUUGGGGGGAGUAUGGUCGCAAGGCUGAAACUUAAAGGAAUUGAAGGAAGGGCAC
This 785-nucleotide ribosomal RNA is filed under the name uncultured organism. RNAcentral's name for it is "bacterial SSU rRNA". It matches the Rfam family "Eukaryotic small subunit ribosomal RNA", at positions 384 to 1167 of the family's 1831-position model. The record is from RNAcentral.